This 427-nucleotide ribosomal RNA is filed under the name uncultured Vibrio sp. RNAcentral's name for it is "bacterial SSU rRNA". It matches the Rfam family "Bacterial small subunit ribosomal RNA", at positions 353 to 772 of the family's 1533-position model. Lineage: Bacteria; Pseudomonadati; Pseudomonadota; Gammaproteobacteria; Vibrionales; Vibrionaceae. The record is from RNAcentral.
AGUGGGGAAUAUUGCACAAUGGGCGCAAGCCUGAUGCAGCCAUGCCGCGUGUAUGAAGAAGGCCUUCGGGUUGUAAAGUACUUUCAGCAGUGAGGAAGGUUCAUACGUUAAUAGCGUAUGGAUUUGACGUUAGCUGCAGAAGAAGCACCGGCUAACUCCGUGCCAGCAGCCGCGGUAAUACGGAGGGUGCGAGCGUUAAUCGGAAUUACUGGGCGUAAAGCGCAUGCAGGUGGUUUGUUAAGUCAGAUGUGAAAGCCCGGGGCUCAACCUCGGAACUGCAUUUGAAACUGGCAAACUAGAGUACUGUAGAGGGGGGUAGAAUUUCAGGUGUAGCGGUGAAAUGCGUAGAGAUCUGAAGGAAUACCAGUGGCGAAGGCGGCCCCCUGGACAGAUACUGACACUCAGAUGCGAAAGCGUGGGGAGCAAA